This 405-nucleotide long non-coding RNA is filed under the name Mytilus galloprovincialis (Mediterranean mussel). The record is from RNAcentral. Lineage: Eukaryota; Metazoa; Mollusca; Bivalvia; Mytilida; Mytilidae.
CGGAUGUGAAACGGACAUUAACGGAAGGAUAACGGAUAAAACGGAUGCCUACCGGAUGUAAAACGGACAAAUGCCAAUUGAAAUUUCGCGUCAGAAAUGCCAAUAAUUGGUAUGUCAGAUUUUCUUGAGUGUCAUGAAUAUUUAUUAUUCGUGAUGGAUCUUGGAGUAAGAGCACGUCUUCGCUACCAAGCAGCUCUUAUUCAGGCCAGACUCAACUUAAAUGUAGCAAAUAUAAACCUUAUAGCUGUCGAAAGGAGAAGAAGGAGAAGACAAAGGAGAUGGUGGACACGACCAUGGCUUAGUCCUGAAAGACGACGCAGUUUUGGUCUAUAUGACCAACUCAUGACCGAACUUAGGCGGGAGGAUCGGCAGUCCUUUGUACACUUCCUUCGAAUGCCCACAGAG